AUGUGGAUUGAUACUCUCUUGUCUCAGAGGAAGAAAAAACAGGCCCCUAAACGUGGGCGCCGGGUCACAAUGAUCCUCUGUGCCCCUGACGUAUGGCAUCCUGGCACUGAUGUGCUCCUGGAAAAUUCUCAGGAUGACUAUCCACGCCAAAAGCUUUCAACCAAAAUCCCGGGAUGGCGUCCUCUGGGGCUCAUGCUUGAUGAUUCUGGGACUCGGUCUACAAAACGCUGAAAGAGAGAUGGCUGAAAGAACACACCAUGAGAAAAGGGAGAGUGAACAAACAGUGGUCUGAUUGAGCAGCGGGAGGACCGGAGCCUUUUGGAUUGCCCUGGUUACGGGGAAUAACAGCCACAAGUUACAUCAGCUUUCCACCUUAACAAUGAGCAGUGUUGGGCAACUCAAAGAGGAAAGUCUUAGUCAGUGUUAAAGGAGAAAAGGAAGGGCGGAGGGGAUGAGAAAAACACAUCAAAGAGAGACAAUUUAAACGUUUUAAACCGCAGCAACAAAUACAACGCCAUGUGCUCUUUUCUAUUAGUGUGUAUUUCUUGCACCGCAGCAUAAAGAUUUUAUAUGAUUCAUCACGCGUCUUAACUCUAGCAAUGGUGGUGACUCUCAUGCGGGCGGAGGAAAAGCUUGAUGGGGGCACAGCUUUAAUCUAACAAGCAACAUGGCGAGAACAAAAGCAUGGUGUCUUUCCUCGCGCUAUACGUGUAAUCUCAUCAAUGACGCUGCGUAGCAUUGUUAAGAGGCAGCACCCCUGCUUGUUAAAUGACCUUUGUUUGUAAUCAAUCAGCCGAAAUGUUACAGAAGCAAAGCAGGGCUCAUUACACAUCCGGCUCAGAGAAACGACAACACUCCACACAUCCAUC
Molecule: long non-coding RNA, 869 nt
Filed under: Sparus aurata (gilthead seabream)
Lineage: Eukaryota; Metazoa; Chordata; Actinopteri; Spariformes; Sparidae
Description: lncRNA (ENSSAUG00010022497.1)
Source: RNAcentral